GGGGGCGGGGCCUGCCUUAAAGGAGCCUCGGCACCGGCGCCAAGGGUGGGCGCGCCGGUCAGGGCUGCGGUGUUACUGAGCUGUCAGAGACCAAGGAAGACACCAAGCGACGCAGGGGCACUUUGAGACCCUGGGGAAUAAAGAAGAAGAAAUACUCAGGGAGACUCUCAGGAAGGAACACAGAGAUUCCGGUGGAAGGAAGGAGAACCAUGCACAGAGCAUACCCGGGUGCCAUAAUCCACGGCCCAAUGAUACCAGAAAAGACAACAGCAUUUAAAAAACAUCUGGCUUUAACCUGAAAGCUUUCCCCCUAAAAAAAGGAAAAACGGGGCCAGAGAUUUGGCUCAGUGGUUCUGCUGUCUGCCUUGCAAGCACAAGGUCCCGAGUUCACUCUCCAGUACCAACGAAGUAAAAUAAGGCAAAAGGCAAGAACGUCUACCACCACCACUCCCGUACAAUAUAUGCAAAACAUUAGCCAGGGCA
This 483-nucleotide long non-coding RNA is filed under the name Fukomys damarensis (Damara mole-rat). RNAcentral's name for it is "lncRNA (ENSFDAG00000030914.1)". Lineage: Eukaryota; Metazoa; Chordata; Mammalia; Rodentia; Bathyergidae. The record is from RNAcentral.